CUAAAAUCGUCCAUAAUAUACAAUACAAAUAGAAAAGUUUUUUUGUAAAACAAUAUUACCCUACAUAAAAGUAAACAUGAAAUAUUACCAGUGUCUAAUUUCUAUACUAUUUCAGAGGUGUUUUCUCGUUUAACAGAGAAGCAAAGGUAAAGAAUGAAGAAGAAAUACGGCAGAAGAAAACAAUUUUUGUGAUAAUAUGAUUUAGAUAAAGUAGAUGGAAUCAAAAUUUGCAUUAAACAAAUCUAGUCACAAUACAUUUUACAGACAAUGACAAGCCGCAUUUAUUAUAUGAAAAUUGAAAAGACCAUGACAACCUGAAUUUAAUAAUCAUUUUGUCAAAAAUACCCUUAACUUAAUGCUUCCCAUUAUUUUCAAUCAAUUUUGAUAUUGAGGAUAAAGUGGGAAUUCAAAACAUUUACCCAUAAAAGUCAAAUUUGUAACAAAUAAUUUUCCUACUCACUGUCAUUGAGAAAUGAAUGCAGGCCCACUACAAUCGUACAAGAUAGAAACAAAUCGUUGCUUCAUGUUGCUUUUCAACCAAAUCUUUUGUAUCUAUUUGUUUUAUUAGGCAUGAAAGAAGCAAACUCCAAACCAGUUAAGUCCCCUUAAGAAGAAAACUCCAAAUUGAUUAAGUGUGAACACGGAGUGCCAAGAAUGAAUAGUAAUCGGCUGGAUCCUUUCUUUUAAUGUAGAGGUAGAUAUAUAACUAGAGAUAGAAAAGAGAUAUGAAGCAGGAUUUAUUAGUUGAUUGAUUCUAUGCCUGGCAGGCAUCUAAAAGCAAGGGUGACAAGUAACUUUAAUUAUUAAAUAAUAUUAUAUUAGUCAUGACUAGACGAUACAGUAGUUAUUUGAUAAUUACAUUCUGAGCUAUUGAAUUCAACUUGCCAAACAUAUGCAAUAAAAUUUUAUUUUGAAAGCUCCUUUGACUUAUCUACAUGAUUGUCUUGAUUCAUUUGUUCUAUUUGUAUCCAGAAAUAGCUAAUUGUAUUUUCAAGUCAAUUGCUUCCUAGAAGUGGCCCGAUAGCCUCUUGGGAGUCAAAGUUAUUGUUACUGAGUGAUGAAAUUUUUUAUUUUCAUACAACAUUUAAGGUU
RNAcentral lists this long non-coding RNA (1092 nucleotides) under Olea europaea subsp. europaea. The record is from RNAcentral. Lineage: Eukaryota; Viridiplantae; Streptophyta; Magnoliopsida; Lamiales; Oleaceae.